UACGUAGGGGGCGAGCGUUAUCCGGAUUCAUUGGGCGUAAAGCGCGCGUAGGCGGCCGCGUAGGCGGGGGGUCAAAUCCCGGGGCUCAACCCCGGGCCGCCCCCCGAACCGCGCGGCUUGGGUCCGGCAGGGGAGGGUGGAACGCCCGGUGUAGCGGUGGAAUGCGCAGAUAUCGGGCGGAACACCGGUGGCGAAGGCGGCCCUCUGGGCCGGCACCGACGCUGAGGCGCGAGAGCUAGGGGAGCGAACAGG
Molecule: ribosomal RNA, 252 nt
Filed under: uncultured bacterium
Lineage: Bacteria
Description: partial 16S ribosomal RNA
Rfam family: Bacterial small subunit ribosomal RNA
Source: RNAcentral